GAUUUCUGGUUGACCAUCCUGGCCCGCGUCCUUCGGGACGUGUGUGCUGGUAUGAGUCUUCCAUCCUUCUAGAGAGCCAUGCCUGCUGUUCAUUCAGCUGGGCGUGUGCGAUCUAGAUCAUUUACUUUGAAAAAAUUAGAGUGUUUAAAGCAGGCUUAUGCCCGAAUACAUUAGCAUGGAAUAAUAAAAUAGGACUUCGGUUCUAUUUUGUUGGUUUCUAGAACUGAAGUAAUGAUUGAUAGGGAUAGUUGGGGGUGCUAGUAUUCCGCGGCCAGAGGUGAAAUUCUUGGAUUCGCGGAAGACUAACUACUGCGAAAGCAUU
Molecule: ribosomal RNA, 322 nt
Filed under: uncultured Euglyphida
Lineage: Eukaryota; Cercozoa; Imbricatea; Euglyphida
Description: SSU rRNA
Rfam family: Eukaryotic small subunit ribosomal RNA (bases 111-322)
Source: RNAcentral